GCGGCCCCCAAAUCCCAGCCGUUGGGUGUCUGAUCCCUGCGCUCACGUUUCCGAAAGCCCCGGGCCAUCGCUCGGGAGGUUCCGAAAGUCCCCGAAUACUGGCGGGGCGUUUCCGACGCCGCCUUCGAACCGGAAGCUAUGGGAAGGCUUUGGCCGCUUCGGUGUCACUUGCUGGGAUCGUGUGGACCCGGCCCCCGGCCUGUGACGGUUGGUGGCGCCCAGCUUUCGGCGGAGAGUUCGGCCCAGCCCUGCUCUGCGCUUGCCGCCUCGAAUGCUCUGGUCUUUCUACUUACGCCGCACGCCUCGCCCGCUGGGCCCGAGUCCCGGUGGCUGCAAAGAUCCUGGCCUAGGGUCGGGAGGCAGGUCUGAGCGCAGCUGCACCGGGCAGCCGACCUCCUCGGGCACGCCGCUCGGGCGCCGUUUCGCCAUGGAUUGGACAUGAUUCCCCGUGAGCCCCUGACAUGCCGCCACUGCCAGUUCUGCUGGGAAACUGGCCUUUCCCUUAGGCCACUUCCUCCGUCACCCGCACCCCUCGAUCUCUGCCGUGCUCUGCGCCUCCCGCUCGUCACACUGCCACCUCUCCAGAUCUCCUUUCCCAUUUCCACUUUUCUCUUGUCUCCCGUGUCCGGAGGUCUGCGUCUGGUGCACACUUUCCCGCUCCCGCCUGUGUGACGCCCGGCAGGGCCCUGGGCUUCUGGGCCCUGCCGUCCGCCCAGGGCCCUGCCGUCCCGGAGUCCCUGUGGCAUCCCACACCUGCCCACUUCGUGGGGUGGGUCAGGUGAGACGGGGGGCUACUUUGGAAGCUGGAGUUCUGUGAAGAGUACAUUAAGGAGUGGAAGGACUUGAAAUUCGGCUACUUCUUUUUUCGGACCUUUACCAAGGCUUACUCGGUCUGCAUAGGCUUCGUAGCCAUGUGCUGGAGUGCGCGGUUAGCCCUCUAAGGUAAAGCGAAACACGCUGCGACUUCAGGGUGUCACAACGCUCCAAGCUCAGAUACUCGUGCAAUCGAACAUUGCCAAGAACGUGGGGUGGGAAGAACAAGGUGAGGGAUGCAGUAGUGGGCUCUGACAGUGUGGCAUAACGCUUUCAGGGGCCACUGUGGUGCAGCGCUAAUGAUCUCUUCAAGAGGAGCCAAUCCCACAAGGCGACCCUGGUUCAAAUCCCCACCAGAUUUUAGGAAUUCAUCCAACAUUUGCUGAGUGUGUAUCCUGACUUCGGCUCUGGCAGUUGCUAAUACAGUAAGCAGGACACAUCUGCUGCCCGCUAAGAACACACAGUUUGGGCCGGCAGCAGGCUGGAUCCCACGUGGCUGGCUGCGCAGUUUGAGUUCCAGACAUGGAGGCUUGAAAAUCAUGCCGUGCAUGUGUGCCCAAAAUCCAAAGAGGAGAGUGGAGGAAAAGAGAUUGGGGUGUGGCCGCCUCCAGCUCUUCUUGACAUGCAGGUCUAAGUGUAAGAAUGAUGUAUUCCUCGAAAGACUGAAAGACCAAAAGACGUGCGUCCUCCGAAGCACACCUCACUAGAUGUCUCGGCUCGGCUACCUGAGUAAUCCCCAUGGCCGGUCCGACUCCGUGAAGGGUACAGAAACCUAGUCCGCUUGGGCUGCCACUGAGCCCCCCAUGCAGAGCAGUGCUGAGCGUGGAGUGUGAGGCCCGUACACGGCUGGCCAGGUCAAUCCUUUGAGGAAGGGCGACAUGACUGUGAGUGGGCUUCUGGGAGUAGAGCCGUGGGAACAAGACCUGGGAAUGGAACAGGUGCUGUGGGAUCCAGAGAGGUGGGCUUUACUUGGGGUAUCUCAGGUCAGAAGACGAAAGAAAGACCCCCUCAAUUUUGGUGAUAAGGAGUGGUGGUAAUGGGUGACCUUUAAGGCAGAUAUAUUUCAUUGCUCUUUCAAAAAAAUACUUGUCCAUAAAAAAUUACACGAGGCCCACCAGAUGGCAUGGAGGUUAAGGCCGCUGGAUCUCACAGGACUGUGCUGUUUGAGUCCCGGCCCAGUGUGUGUG
Long non-coding RNA from Tupaia belangeri chinensis (Chinese tree shrew), 2000 nucleotides. RefSeq lists it as uncharacterized. The record is from RefSeq and is a predicted model, not a curated record. Lineage: Eukaryota; Metazoa; Chordata; Mammalia; Scandentia; Tupaiidae. The transcript has 3 exons.